AUACAUACCAGCCUUUGAAAAAAGAGCAACAACCACCCUGAUCAUUGUCUUCUUGAUGCUCAUGGUGGACAUGAUAAACCUGCUGUGGUGGAGGAGGAGGUGGAGGAUACCCUCCUCCACUGAAAUACCCUUGAUACCCUUGACCUGGGGGUGGCGGAUGUGGUGGCCGCGGGUACGCUUCAUAGGGCGGCGGUGCAGAUGGGUAUCCUGGUGGUGGAGGAGAAGGAGGCCCACCAUACCCUUCAAAAAUAACAACCACCACAAAAUUGAAGUGCUAAAGUUUAGACGUUGAAAGUCAACAAUAAAAGUCAAAUUGAAAAUUGAAAAUAUAGCAAAAUCAAAGGCCAGAAUAUGAAAUCAAGAGGAAAAGAAGACAAGAAUUAGUGAAAUUGAAGAAGAACAAAAAAGAAAUGAAUGAAUACCUGGGGAAGGGUACUGGUGGUAUGGGCCUUGAGGGAGUCUCUGGUGACUCAUGGGAUAUUAUCUCUCUCUCUCUCUCUCUUCCCUUUUCUUCCCUGAGAAAGUGCUAGACGUAGGAGAACCAGCGGUAAUUGCCACCGGCGAGUAGUUACAGGUGCGAACUGAAUUUAAUUAUUUAUCUCGGCUGUCUGUAGCCGCUUACGUCGGUGGUAAUGAGAUCAAAUUAACACCUUAUUAUAAUAAUUACAGAAAAUUUAAUUUUAUUAAUAACAAGUUGGAUCUUAUUAUACAUGUGAUUCUCUUAGCUAGCUUCUCCCGUACUCUUCUUUUCUUUUCUUCUUCUCCUUCCUUCUUUCUAUCUCUUU
This 785-nucleotide long non-coding RNA is filed under the name Panax ginseng (ginseng). RNAcentral's name for it is "long non-coding RNA (PGIN_LNC003815)". The record is from RNAcentral. Lineage: Eukaryota; Viridiplantae; Streptophyta; Magnoliopsida; Apiales; Araliaceae.